Molecule: ribosomal RNA, 731 nt
Filed under: Peltigera stanleyensis
Lineage: Eukaryota; Fungi; Ascomycota; Lecanoromycetes; Peltigerales; Peltigeraceae
Description: partial 28S large subunit ribosomal RNA
Rfam family: Eukaryotic large subunit ribosomal RNA
Source: RNAcentral
GUUGUAAUCUAUAGAGGGAGUUUCGGGUAAAGUCUGGUUUAAGUUCCUUGGAACAGGACGUCAUAGAGGGUGAGAACCCCGUCAGUAACCAAUCACCAACCCAUGUGAAACCCCUUCGACGAGUCGAGUUGUUUGGGAAUGCAGCUCCAAAUGGGUGGUAAAUUUCAUCUAAAGCUAAAUAUUGGCCGGAGACCGAUAGCGCACAAGUAGAGUGAUCGAAAGAUGAAAAGCACUUUGGAAAGAGAGUUAAAUAGUACGUGAAAUUGUUGAAAGGGAAGCGCUUGUGGCCAGACCUGUGCAUAGGUGAUCAGCUGGUAUUCUUACCAGUGCACUCACCUAAAGCCAGGCCAGCAUCGGUUUCGGCGGCGGGACAAAAGCGUGGAGAAUGUAACUCUCUCUUGGGUGAGUACUUAUAGCUCGUCAUGAAAUGCCGCCAGCCGAGACCGAGGACCGCGCUUCGGCUAGGAUGCUGGCGUAAUGGUUGCAAGCGACCCGUCUUGAAACACGGACCAAGGAGUCUAACAUCUAUGCGAGUGUUUGGGUGUAAAACCCAGGCGCGGAAUGAAAGUGAACGGAGGUGGGAACCCUUAAAGGGGGUGCACCAUCGACCGAUCCUGAUGUCUUCGGAUGGAUUUGAGUAUGAGCAUAGCUGUUGGGACCCGAAAGAUGGUGAACUAUGCCUGAACAGGGUGAAGCCAGAGGAAACUCUGGUGGAAGCUCGCAGCGGUUCU